GGAGGAGUUCAGUAGUUGGAGAAGGACAUUGUAGACAGAGGGAGUUGCAAGUCAGAUGGAACAGUGUGCCAGGGAUGGAAUGGAGGAAGACAGAGCUGGACAGACAGGCCAGGGCUAGACUCUGGAACCACAAGGAGGGGCUUUUUCUAAUACUGAUAGUCUGGAAAUCAACUGGCAUCAUAAUUCUAACAAGGAGGCAAGGUUUCAGUCUAUCAACCAGACUGGAGUUCAGAGAUGCCAUCAUAGCUCACUGAAGCCUUGAAUGCUUGGGGACAAGAGAUCUUUCUCCUUCAGCCUGUUGAGUAGCUGGGACUUCAGGUAUGUACCAGAAUGCCUGGCUAAUUUGAAUUAUUUUUUAUUUUUAUUUUGGUAGAGAUGAAUUUUCACUAUGUUGUCCAAGCUGGUCUGGAACUCCUGACUUUAAGUGUUCCUCUUGUCUUGACCUCCCAACUUGCUGGGAUUACAUGAGCUAGCAUGCCUAGCCUUGAUAUUUCUUUUUUAAAAAGGCACUUGUAUUGUCUAACACCUAUGGCUAGAGGAUGAACAUUUGGUCAAGGAUCAACAUUUGGCCUCUGAAUAUAAGUGUCUAUUUAGUUAAUCAAGAUGGGCAUCACAUUUCAGGAGACUGGUGGGUUUCUUCUAGAUGAAAAGGUCCUUGGAGACCCUCUAUUCUAACUUUCCACAUCCCAGAGAAGAGACCUGUCCAUCAGAGAGCACCUGGCAUCCUCCCAGAUUCAGGCACUUACUCAGGGAGCAGAAUUGGGCUGUUCCUGUAGCCCAGCUUGCAUGGUCCAAGAUGGUUGAGUUCCAAAGUUGAGCAUUUAAAAUAUCAAAUUCUGAGGGGAAUUUCCUCAGAGUUUGGUGCCACAAAGUGCCCUCCUAAGAAUGGACAUACAUAUUUCCCAGCACCUCCCUUUGAAGCUCCUGGGCUGGUUAUUUUUAAAAAGUACAGAUUUACAGGAUCCCACCUAUAUCUAAAGAAUCAGAAUCCUGGAACAGGGACUAGAAAUUUGUAUCUUCAUAAGCAUCUUCUGUGAUCUUUAUUUACACUCAGGUUUGACAACUGCUACCCUAGGACAAGUACAGAUUUUUUGCAGUUGCUUCUGAUAAUCAAUCCAUGCCCUAACACCCUGCUGGGUCUCCCAGCUCACUCUCCUGUGGCCCUGCUUUCUAUCUCUGGCUCUUCAUCUUUUCAGUGCCUGAGCAUUUUUCCUCUUCCUUUUCUCUCCCCUUCUCUUUGUUGCUCUUUUGUGCUUUCAUUUUUUGUCUCUCUUUUCUUCUUCCUCUGUUUGUUAUUUACUCUUUCCCUUGCUCCCUGCCCCACCCAGACCAUUCCAAAGUGGUGCUGGGAUAUGGAGGAGGAGCCAAAGGCAGUGAGUUGAGCCCGGGCACUCAGAG
This 1398-nucleotide long non-coding RNA is filed under the name Callithrix jacchus (white-tufted-ear marmoset). RNAcentral's name for it is "lncRNA (ENSCJAG00000071761.1)". Lineage: Eukaryota; Metazoa; Chordata; Mammalia; Primates; Cebidae. The record is from RNAcentral.